GCCGCUUUAGCUAAGUUGGUAGAGCACAUCAUUCGUAAUGAUGGGUCGCGUGUUCGAGCCACGCAAGCGCACCA
This 74-nucleotide transfer RNA is filed under the name Mesorhizobium sp. Its description in RNAcentral is "tRNA-Thr". It matches the Rfam family "tRNA". Rfam says of the family: Transfer RNA (tRNA) molecules are approximately 80 nucleotides in length. Lineage: Bacteria; Pseudomonadati; Pseudomonadota; Alphaproteobacteria; Hyphomicrobiales; Phyllobacteriaceae. RNAcentral also lists the same sequence under 1 other name. The record is from RNAcentral.